This is a small nucleolar RNA of Saimiri boliviensis boliviensis (Bolivian squirrel monkey), 99 nucleotides long. RefSeq annotates it as small nucleolar RNA U13. NCBI's taxonomy places the organism in Eukaryota, Metazoa, Chordata, Mammalia, Primates, Cebidae. The record is from RefSeq and is a predicted model, not a curated record.
AUCCUGUGGUGGUUCAUAAGAAUAGGGACUGGGUUUUCAUACUCGUGUGAGAUGUGCCUUCCUUAAACCUUAAGACAUUGGCACAUUACCUAUGUGAUG